UACGUAGGGCGCAAGCGUUGUCCGGAAUUAUUGGGCGUAAAGAGCUCGUAGGCGGCCAGUUGCGUCUGCUGUGAAAUCCCGGGGCUCAACCCCGGGCGUGCAGUGGAUACGGGCUGGCUAGAGGCAGGCAGGGGAGAACGGAAUUCCCGGUGUAGCGGUGAAAUGCGCAGAUAUCGGGAGGAACACCGGUGGCGAAGGCGGGUCUCUGGGCCGUAACUGACGCUGAGGAGCGAAAGCGUGGGGAGCGAACAGG
RNAcentral lists this ribosomal RNA (253 nucleotides) under uncultured bacterium. Its description in RNAcentral is "partial 16S ribosomal RNA". It matches the Rfam family "Bacterial small subunit ribosomal RNA", at positions 524 to 776 of the family's 1533-position model. The record is from RNAcentral.